RNAcentral lists this ribosomal RNA (258 nucleotides) under uncultured bacterium. Its description in RNAcentral is "partial 16S ribosomal RNA". The record is from RNAcentral.
CUGCUGCCUCCCGUAGGAGUUUGGGCCGUGUCUCAGUCCCAAUGUGGCCGUUCACCCUCUCAGGCCGGCUACUGAUCGUCGCCUUGGUGGGCCGUUACCCCGCCAACCAGCUAAUCAGACGCGGGUCCAUCCCAUACCACCGGAGUUUUUCACACUGUUCCAUGCGAAACCGUGCGCUUAUGCGGUAUUAGCAGUCAUUUCUAACUGUUAUCCCCCUGUAUGAGGCAGGUUACCCACGCGUUACUCACCCGUCCGCCA